This 400-nucleotide ribosomal RNA is filed under the name uncultured microorganism. Its description in RNAcentral is "bacterial SSU rRNA". It matches the Rfam family "Bacterial small subunit ribosomal RNA", at positions 9 to 407 of the family's 1533-position model. The record is from RNAcentral.
GAGUUUGAUCAUGGCUCAGAUUGAACGCUGGCGGCAUGCCUUACACAUGCAAGUCGAACGGCAGCAUGAUCUAGCUUGCUAGAUUGAUGGCGAGUGGCGAACGGGUGAGUAAUACAUCGGAACGUGCCCUGUAGUGGGGGAUAACUAGUCGAAAGAUUAGCUAAUACCGCAUACGACCUGAGGGUGAAAGUGGGGGACCGCAAGGCCUCAUGCUAUAGGAGCGGCCGAUGUCUGAUUAGCUAGUUGGUGGGGUAAAGGCCCACCAAGGCGACGAUCAGUAGCUGGUCUGAGAGGACGAUCAGCCACACUGGGACUGAGACACGGCCCAGACUCCUACGGGAGGCAGCAGUGGGAAUUUUGGACAAUGGCGAAAGCCUGAUCCAGCAAUGCCGCGUGUGUG